RNAcentral lists this ribosomal RNA (396 nucleotides) under uncultured bacterium. RNAcentral's name for it is "partial 16S ribosomal RNA". It matches the Rfam family "Bacterial small subunit ribosomal RNA", at positions 523 to 918 of the family's 1533-position model. The record is from RNAcentral.
AUACGUAGGGUGCGAGCGUUGUCCGGAAUGACUGGGCGUAAAGCGAACGUAGGCGGGAGUGCAAGUCAGAUGUGAAAUACAUGGGCUCAACCCAUGGGCUGCAUUUGAAACUGCAAUUCUUGAGUGGCGUAGAGGUAAGAGGAAUUCCUGGUGUAGCGGUGAAAUGCGUAGAUAUCAGGAGGAAUACCGGUGGCGAAGGCGGCUUACUGGCCGUUUACUGACGCCGAGGAUCGAAAGCGCGGGGAGCAAACAGGAUUAGAUCCCCUGGUAGUCCACGCUGUAAACGAUGUUUACUAGGUGUGGGUGUACUGGCCCCUUGCGUUCCGCAGGUAACACAAUAAGUCGUCCACCUGGGGAGUACGGCCGCAAGGUUGAAACUAAAAGGAAUCGACGGGG